AAUGUAUGGCAAUAGCUGGUUGCAUUAACAAAAAGUUAGUGUAAGAUCGACUCUGUCGAAUAAAAUUCUAGAUAGAAUUAUGAUAAUGACAUUAUCUAUCUAUGUGUCUUGACCAAAUUACGUGCCAGCAGUCGCGGUAAUACGUAAAAGACUAGUGUUAUUCAUCUUUAAUAGGUUUAAAGGGUACUUAGACGGUAAAUAAAGCCCGAAUAGGGAACUAAUAUACUAGAGUUUGAUGUAAGGAAGCAUGAAAGUACUGUUGGUGUAGAGAUAAAAUUCUAUCAUACCAAAUAUGGCACAGGUUUAGGCGAAAGCAUCUUCUUAUGUAAUAACUGACGUUGAAGGACGAAGGCUUUGUGUCUCGAACAGGAUUAGAUACCCCAGUAGUCUAAGCAGACAAUGAUGAAUGUCAUAGAUUAGAUUUAAUUAAAUUUAUUCUAUAAAUGAAAGUGUAAGCAUUCCACCUCAAGAGUAAUUUGGCAACAUUGGAACUGAAAUCAUUAGACCGUUUCUGAAACCAGUAGUGAAGUAUGUUGUUUAAUUAGAAGAUACGCAAAAAACCUUACCACAAUUUGAAUUAGUAAUAUGUUUUCACAAGCGUUGCACGGCUGUCUACAGUUAAUGUCGUGAGAUUUUGGUUAGUUCCAUUAAAUUAACGC
Molecule: ribosomal RNA, 659 nt
Filed under: Lecidea cancriformis
Lineage: Eukaryota; Fungi; Ascomycota; Lecanoromycetes; Lecideales; Lecideaceae
Description: SSU rRNA
Rfam family: Bacterial small subunit ribosomal RNA
Source: RNAcentral